Molecule: non-coding RNA, 28 nt
Filed under: Bombyx mori (domestic silkworm)
Lineage: Eukaryota; Metazoa; Arthropoda; Insecta; Lepidoptera; Bombycidae
Source: RNAcentral
UCCCUGUCGACGAACUCGGUGUGUUCGG